GCGGUGGCUCAUGCCUGUAAUCUCAACACUUUGGGAGUACGAGGUGGGCAGAUCACCUGAUGUUGGGAGUUUGAGACUAGCCUGACCAACAUGGUGAAAUGCUGUCUCUACUAAAGAUACAAAAAUUAGCUGGGCAUGGUGGUGGGCGUUGUAAUCCCAGCUAUUUGGGAGGCUAAGGCAGGAGAAUUGCUUGAACCCAGAAGGCAGAGGUUGCAGUGAAUAAAGAUGAUGCCAUUGCACUCCAGCCUGGGUAAAAGAGCGAGACUCCAUCUCAAAAAAAAAAAUUUAGAAAUAAUGAUACAUUCUGUUGAAGUUGCAAAAAUAAAGUACCAAGGUUCUGUGAAUAAUUUAUGCAGUUUUUGCAUAACUAUAGUACAAUAUCAAAAGGAGAAAAUUGACACUGGUACAAUCCACCAAUUUAAUUAAAAUUCCUUCAGUUUUAAAAGCACUGAUUUCUGUGUGUGUGUAUGUGUGCGUGUGUGUGUGUGUGUACUGCUAUGCAAUUGCAUUGCACACACACACAAAUAAUUCAUUACACGAAUUGCAUGUGUAGAUUUGUGUAACGACCACUACCAUGGAGAUUCAGAAUCAUUCCCUCAGCACAAAGAGCUGCCUUCUAGCCUGUUACAGCUCCCUCUCCCCAACCUUGUCUCCUUGGCAACCAGUAAUCCCUUCUCCAUUUCUGUAAUUGUGUUAUUUCAAGAAUGGUACAUAAAUGGAAUCGCACAGCAUAAAACCUUUGAGAUUGGCUUUUUUUUCCACUCAGCAUAAUUCCUUUGAGAUCCAGCUAAGCUGUUGCAUUUAUCAUAUGGAGGUACCACCAUUUAUUUAACCAUUCACUCACUGAACGACAUCUGGGCUAAUUAGUUUUUGGCUGUUAUGGAUCAAGUUGCUAAAGCCAUUCCUUGUACAGGUUUCUGUGUGAACGUAAGUGUUCAUUUUGCUGGGAAAGAUGCCCAGGAAUGUAAUAUCGGGUAGUAUGGUAGUUGCAUGUGUGGUUUUAUGAGAAACUGUCAAAAUAUUUUUUCCAGUCUGUAGCUUGUCUUUUCAUUCUCUUCAAAGAGUCUCUCUCAGGCAAACAUUUUUGGUUUUGAUGAAGCCCAAUUAAUCACAUUUUCCUUUUAUGGAUUGUGAUUUUGUGUCACGUAUGUCACUUUGUCCAGUCUGAGGUCAUGAGGAAUUUUAGGCUGGGGGUGGUGACUCAAGCCUGGAAUCUCAACACUUUGGGAGCAAAAGGAUGGCUUGUGCUCAGGAGUUUUAGACUAGUCUGGGCAACAUGGUGAGAGAGACCUUGUUUCUAUAAAAAGUACAAAAAAAAAAUGAGCCAGGUGUGGUAGUGCAUGCAUACCUAUAGUCCCUGCUACUGAGGAGGCUGAGGUGGGAGGAUUGCCUGAGCCAGGGAGGUUGAGGUUGCAGUGAGCCAAGACUGUGCCACUGCACUCCAGCCUGGGUGACAGAGUGAGACCCCGUUUCAAAAAUAAAUAAAAUAAAAUAAUAAAAAUAAUAGUGUACUCUAUUGCCAAGAUUUCUGAUCAGCUUGUGAUAUUUUCCUAUGCUACUCUUAUCUCUAAAGCAAAACCUAUUUUUAAACCAAGAAUGCUUUUUGUUCUUAAAGUACUAGGACAUUUCCAUAAGUUCUGGGUCUUUAUUCAGUUAACAUUAUAUCCUUGUUCCUUCAACCAUGAAUAUCUUGUGAUCAAGAGUGCCCAACCCUCAGGGAAUGUAACCUAGCAGGUUUGACUUUUUCUGGCCUUUAUUUUUUUUGAGACAGGGUCUCGCUUUAUCACCCGGGCAGGACUGCAGUGGCUCAAUCACAGCUCACUGAAGCCACGAUCUUCUCCCGGGCUCAAGCAAUCCUCUUACCUCAGCCUCCUUAGUAGCUGGGACUAUAGGUGCAUCCCAUCAAAGCUGACUAAUUUUUGUAUUUUUUGUAGAGAGAGGGAUUCACCAGGUUGCUGAAGCUGAGCUUGAACUCCUGGCCUUAAGCCAUCCUCCCACCUUGGCCUCCCAAAGUCCUGGGAUUACGGGCAUGGGCCACUGCACCCCACCCUUUUUACCGUGUUGUCUUCCAGCUUCCAGUCCAUGAACAUGAGAUGUCUCUCUAUUUAUUUGGAUCUCCUCUGAUUUCUUUCAUUUAUGUUUUAUAAUUUUUUUUUUUUGAGAUGGCGUUUCACUCUGUCGCCCAGGCUGGAGUGCAGUGGUGCAAUCUCAGCUCACUGCAACCUCCACCUCCCGGGCCCAAGUGAUUCUCCUGCCUCAGCCUCCCAAGUAGCUGGGGUUAUAGGCGUUCGUCACCAUGCCCAGCGGAUUUUUGUAUUUCUUAGUAGAGAUGGGGUUUCACCAUGUUAGCCAGGCUGGUCUCGAACUCCUGACCUCAGAUGAUUCGCCCGCCUUGGCCUACCAAAGUGCUGGAAUUACAGGCGUGAGCCACUAUGCCUGGCCUAUAUUUUGUAAUUUUUAACAUACUGACCCUGUACAUGUUUUGUUAGCUGUAUCCUUAAGUAUUUUAAUUCCUUUGGAGCAAUUGUGUAUGGUAGAAUUCAGGAUCCAAGAUGGCCGAUCACUAACAGCUCGGGAUUGUAGCUCCCAGUGAAAGCUCAGAGAACGAGAUGGCGCCACACUUUUAGACGAAGUUUCGUCACUUACGGAUCAGCCGAUUCCCAGUGGAGGAGCCCCAUGGGUCGCCAGCGCGACUCUUGUGGCCGCCGCAGCGGUUUUGCCGGCGUCUAGGCGCAGCAGCUCCUCAUGCAGAGCAAACGGGACUGCUUCCCCUACUGACCGGAGUUUGGAGCUCUGGGAAAUCAGAGCCGCUUGUUGCAGACUCAAGAGGGAAGCCAGACCAGAGAUUCCCGGGCAGAAGAGCACCAUCAGUUUUAUCGCUGCUAUUUAGGCCGCCACAGUGGCUUGCUCGGAUCCCAGCACUGGGAAUCAAUAAAUCGGACGUCGACUCAGAAACCUAAUUAGAAAGGCGGUUCAUCUACAAUGAAGGGAAAAAACAGCCUAAGAAGGCCGAGUAUACCCAAAAUCAGAACCCAUCAGCAACGGAACAAGCCCUGAUGGAAAAGGACUCAUCAGCAACGGAACAAGCCCUGAUGGAAAAGGACUCAUCAGCAGCAGAACAAGUCCUGAUGGAAAAAGACUGUGUUCCAUUAUCCGAAGUAGGCUUUAAAAGGUGGAUGAUAAGAAACUUCUGGGAGUUAAAGGAACUUGUUCUAACCCAAUGUAAAGAAACUAAGAACUUUGAAAAAAGGUUCGAUGAAAUGAUGACAAGAAUAGACAAUAUAGAGAGGAAUACAAAUGAACUUAUGGAGUUGAAAAAUACAACAUGAGAACUUAGUGAAAUAUGUACAAGCUUAAAUAGCCGAAUGGAUCAAGCAGAAGAAAGGAUAUCAGAGGUCGAAGACCAAUUUGAUGAAAUAAAACGACAAGAAUAGAGAAAAAAGGAUAAAAAGGAAUGAGCAAAGUCUUCAAGAAAUAUGGGACUAUGUGAAAAGACCUAAUAUAUGCUUGAUUGGUGUACCUGAAUGUGAUGGAGAGAAUGAAUUCAAGCUGGAAAAUAUUCUUCAGGAUAUUAUCCAGGAAAAUUUUCCUAAUUUAGCAAAGCAGGACACUAUUCAACCCCAGGCAAUACAGAGAACACCACAAAGAUAUUCCUCAAGAAGACCAACCCCAAGGCACAUAAUCGUUAGAUUCACCAGGAUAGAAACAAAGGAGAAAAUAUUAAGGGUAGCCAGAGGGAAAGAUCAGGUUACCCAUAAAGGGAAGCCUAUUAGGCUUACAGCAGAUCUCUCAGCGGAAACCCUACAAGCUAGAAGAGAGUGGGGGCCAAUAUUCAAUAUACUUAAAGAACAGAACUUUCAGCCCGGAAUUUCAUAUCCUGCCAAUUUAAGCUUUACAUUUGAAGGAAAAAUAAAAUCUUUUAGGAACAAGCAAGUACUCAGAGAUUUUAUUACUACCAGGCCUGCUUUACAAGAACUUCUAAAAGAAGCAUUAUACAUAGAAAGGAACAACCAGUAUGAGCCUUUCUAAAAAUACACCAAAAAGUAAAGAGGAUUAACAUAAAGAAGAAUUUACAUCAACGAAAGGAUAAAAUAGCCAGUUAAUAUCAAAUGGCAGUAACCCUAAAUUUAAAUCGACUAAAUCCCCCAAUCAAAAGAUACAGACAAAAUCUAACGGUAUAUCUAAAGAUAUACAAAGACUCAAAAUAAAGGGUUGGAAAAAAACUUACCAAUUAAAUGGAGAGCAAAAAUAAAUAAAAAGCAGGAGUUGCAAUUCUCACAAUUAAUAAAAUAGAUUUCAAAGCUAGAAGGAUACAAGGGUAAAAGGAUUAAUGUAAUAAUAAGAGAUCUUAACACCCAGAUACGUAAGAUCCAUAAUGAGAUUUAGAUUUAACGAGACAGAAAACUGAUAACGAUAUCCAGGACUUGAACUCAGAUCCAGAACAAAUAAACUCAAUAGAGCUCUCCAUUUUAAACACACAAAAUAUAUAUUAUCCACUUUAAACACACAAAAUAUUGAUCGGCCAUUAUUGAUACCCAUUUUAGGAAUGAAGUAAUAUUUCUUUUUCCCUUUUUUUUCUCUUUUUCCCUCUUUUUUCCUCUUUUUCUUUCUCUUUCUUCUUAAAAAAAAAUUGUGUAUGGUAUUGUGUUUCAAAUUUUGGUCAUAGUAUAUAGAAAUGCUAAUGACUUUUUUGUGUUCCAAUAAAACUUUAUUUACAAAAACAGUGGUUCACUGAGCUCAGGAGUUCAAGACCAGCCUGGCCAACAUGGUGAAACCCGGUCUCUACCAAAAAUACAAAAAUUAGUUGGGCAUGGUGGCGGGCACCAGUAAUCCCAGCUACUCUGGAGGCUGAGGCAGGAGAAUCACUUGAACCCAGUAGGCAGAGGUUGCAAUGAACCAAGAUCCUAUCAUUGCACUCCAGCCUGGGUGACAAGAGCGAAACUUCGUCUCAAAACAAAAACAAAAACAGUGGCCCAUAUCUGGUCAUAGGCCAUGGUUUGCUGGGCCCUACUCUAAGAGAACAUAGAAAAACUUGGCUGGGCGUGGUGACCCACGCCUGUAAUCCCAGCACUUUGGGAGGCAGAGGCGGGUAGAUGACCUGAGGUCUGGAGUUUGAGACCAGCCUGGCCAACAUGGCAAAACCCUGUUUCUACCAAAAAUACAGAAAUUAGUCAGGCGUCAUGACACAUGCCUGUAAUCCCAGCUACUUGGGAGGCUGAGGCAGGAGAAUCGCUUGAACCAGGGAGGCAGAGGUUGCAGUGAGCCAGGAUCAAGCCACUGCACUCCAGCCUGAGUGAGCGAGAUUCCGUCUCAAAAAAGAAAAAAGGAAGAAAAAAGAAGAAAGGAAAGAAACAGUAUGGUUAAUUUUAGGCCAGAGUCACAUAGGCUAGCACAUAUCUCCACGACUAAACCAUAUCAAUUCUGAAUCCCCCCCGUUUUUUUUUUUUUUUCUGAGACCGAGUUGCCCAGGCUGGAGUGCAAUGGUAUGGUCUUCGCUCAUUGCAGACUCUGCCUCCUGGGUUCAAGUGAUUCUCCUGCCUCAGCCUCCUGAGUAGCUGGGAUUACAGGCAUGUGCUACCAUGCCUGGCUAAUUUUGUGUUUUUGGUAGACACGGGGUUUUUCCAUGUUGGUCAGGUUGGUCUCAAACUCCUGACCUCAGGUGAUCCGCCCGCCUCAGCCUCCCAAAGUGCUGGGAUUACAGGUGUGAGCCACCUUGCCCAGCCUGAAUCCCUUUUAUAUAUCUCCUCAUCAAAUGAAAAUAAUCUCUUUGAUUCUUUUUCCCCUGGAUGAAACCUUUAGCUAGCUGGAAGAUCACUCAUGGCCAGAAAUUCAAAUGUGGGGACCAUAGGCUGUUGGCCCCCUAAAGGUUCUUUGAAAAUCACUGACACGAGGUACGUGGAUUAACAGGAGACAGGGCAUCCAGAUGUAUUUAACCUAUGUACAUGGGAGCCUCCUUAAAUAUCACUAUGAGGUUACAGAAAGAAUGGGGGUUCAGAUUCUGGUCACCCAGAUUAUGGGAGGGGGAGAAGAGGUUUAGCUGGCAAAGGUGGCCUUGCUAUGCAGAUGAACCCUCCCUCAGAGAUAAUUGGUAGUGAAGUCUUUUGUUUUUAAAACAGAGUCUCUGUCACCCAGGUUGGAGUGCAGUGAUGUGAUCUCUGCUCAUUGCAACCUCUGCCUUCCGGGUUCAAGAAAAUCUCCUGCCUCAGUCUCCCAAGUAGCUGGGAUUACAGACCAGGUGCUGAAGAAACCAGCUACCCAGAACACCGAGUGGUGCAGACAAAAAAGACCCAGGAAAGCCUGGCGGAUACAGCGGUGCGUGCUUGCAGUCCAGCUAUCCAGGAGGCUGGGUCGGGAGGAUCGCUUGAGCCCGGGAGUUCAAAUCCUACCUGGGCGACAUAGUAAGACCGCCACCUCUAAACAAACAAACAAACAAAAGACCCAGAGACCCAGGGAAGCUUCACCCCCUUAGCCAAAGGACCAGAGAUGGGGUCUUGCUAUGCUGCUUCAGCUGGUCUUGAAUUCCUGGAUUGCUGGGAGAAAAUCUUGACGUAUGUGUGAUAGAUUGUAUGUUGUUUACUGAGAAACGAUGGCAAGGAACACCAAGCCAUCCCCAGGCAGAAAACUGCUGGAAUAGUUAGCAAUAUAUACCAGUCAUGCACUAGUGAAACUGGUUCCCAAAGCACAGGAUACAUGACCUUGUCACCACUGCUGACUCAGGAAGAGUGCUUUCUAGCUUAUUUCUAUUUUAGUAGUGAACAGUCACUAUCUGCCUGUUUAGUCUAUCUUUAUUAUAUGAAAAAACACUGAACACCUGCUUAUUAAAAAUAAUCACUUGUUCACAAAGAAUAAAUACAUUCAUCAGAGUCUGCUCUGGGCUUUCAACUGGGAAAUGCUGUCAGCCCCCUGACGCCCCUCUCUGAUUUCCACUUUUGCGCUCGAUUUUUGUGUCUGCUUCUUAACUCCUUCAGCGCUGCCUGGGUUGGGGUCUCCAUGACUGAGCUGGUCUGGGUACUGGACUUAAGCAUUCCUCCUGCCUCAGCCUCCCAAAGUGUUAAGGAUUACAAGUGUGAGCCACCACGCCCAGCCACAGAAGGAUUUACUAUGUACAUACAGUGAAAGCAAGGUCAGUAUUGUGUCAUCCCAGAGGAUGACACUGAACCAAAAGACACAAAACCUGCAUGGCGGCUCGCUUUGUCAUGGAUGACAGUCCUCUAAACUACAGCCAAGCCGUUUUAUAAAAUUUCAAUGAAGUCAGCUGGCUGCGGUGGCUCACGCCUAUAGUCCCAGCACUUUGGGAGGCCGAGGUGGGUGGAUUACUUGAGGCCAGGAGUUCGAGACCAGCCUGACCAACAUGGUGAAACCCCAUCUCUACUAAAAAUGCAAAAAAUUAGUUGAGCAUGGUGGUUCGAGCCUGUAGUCCUAGCUGCUUGGGAGGCAGAGACACGAGAAUUGCUUGAACCUGGGAGGUGGAGGUUACAGUGAGCCGAGAUUGUGCUGCUGCACUCUGUCUUUUUUUAAAAAAAAAAAAGAGAGAGAGAAUUAUUCUCAUCUGGGAGGCAGAAAAGAAACAGUUUUAUCGUUCUACUAUAAGGACACAUGCACACGAAUGUUCAUUGCAGCACUGUUUACAAUAGCAAAGACCUGGAACCAACCCAAAUGCCCAUCGAUGAUAGACUGGAUUGGGAAAAUGUGGCGCAUAUACACCAUGGAAUAUUAUGCAGCAAUCAGAAAUGAGGAGUUAGUGUCAUUUGUAGGGACAUGGAUGAAUCUGGAGAACAUCAUCCUCAGCAAACUGACACAAGAACAGAAAAUGAAACACCGCAUAUUCUCACUCAUAGGCGGGUGAUGAAAAAUGAGAACACAUGGACACAGGGAGGGGAGUACUAAA
Molecule: long non-coding RNA, 7888 nt
Organism: Callithrix jacchus (white-tufted-ear marmoset)
Lineage: Eukaryota; Metazoa; Chordata; Mammalia; Primates; Cebidae
Source: RefSeq, a predicted model, not a curated record